Non-coding RNA from Poecilia reticulata (guppy), 465 nucleotides. The record is from RefSeq and is a predicted model, not a curated record. Lineage: Eukaryota; Metazoa; Chordata; Actinopteri; Cyprinodontiformes; Poeciliidae.
AGAUCUUCUGCGAAGUCGGGUACCCUGCUCCUCCUUCGGCUCCGCCCACGCCGCCUGUGCUGACCAAUCAGAUCUAUGGAAACACACCAGAGGAGAGACGGCGGCCAACACCUGAGACAUCCAGCUGGGCUGCAUGUAGGAGUAACACUGCACACAGAGAGAAGCACCGUCAACACCAGAACCAGAACCGGGUUAAACCAAACAGCAGGAGCUGACUGUCAGAGAUCCAACUGGAUCGUAACCACGAAUACGUUACUUUUUUUUUUUUCAAAGAAUGUUUUGUUUUUUUUGUGUGUGCAAAUUUGCUGUAUUAAAGGAAACAUCUAGUUUCCAAAUUCUUUUGAAGUCAACUGGACAAAUUUUUAUUUUCAGUUAUAAGAACAGGUUUUGUGUCACUUCCUUUCAAAACAUUCACUAUAUUUAGUAAAGUUUAAUAAAAUAAAUAAAAGCCGAUCUGGAUGCCCA